GGGUCAGGAGGUUGGUCGUGCCACCGGUACGUACUGGUCUCACUGAUUCCUCCUUCCUGAAGAACCGUAAUGCCAUUAAUGUGGUGUUGCGGGGAAACAGGACUGUUACUUUGAAAAAAUUAGAGUGUUUAAAGCAAGCUAACGCUUGAAUACAUUAGCAUGGAAUAAUGAAAUAGGACGAUCGAUCCUAUUUUGUUGGUUUCUAGGAUUGACGUA
RNAcentral lists this ribosomal RNA (216 nucleotides) under Glomeromycotina sp. RNAcentral describes it as "partial small subunit ribosomal RNA". The stretch from base 40 to 216 matches the Rfam family "Eukaryotic small subunit ribosomal RNA", at positions 686 to 864 of the family's 1831-position model. The record is from RNAcentral. Lineage: Eukaryota; Fungi; Glomeromycota.